This is a long non-coding RNA of Gossypium arboreum, 321 nucleotides long. RefSeq lists it as uncharacterized. The transcript has 2 exons. Lineage: Eukaryota; Viridiplantae; Streptophyta; Magnoliopsida; Malvales; Malvaceae. The record is from RefSeq and is a predicted model, not a curated record.
AAUAUUAUCACACUGUCGGGUUAACGUUAUCGGCGUAAGUAAACUCAAGUGAUUCUAGUCUAUGGCAUGUAUAGGGUUUUAAUGUGAGUAUGUAAUAUUAUGAUUUAGCCAAAGGCAUUGUCUUGUUAUUAAGGUAGUAUUAGUCAUGUAAAUUGGCCUAUGUCGGCUAAUAUCGUUAUGGGCCCAUAUGAUUAUUCUUAUGCAUGUAUGUUAUUAUCUCUUGUGAUGUGGCUUACAACAUGUAUGCCUAGAGAUUGAAUUGAGAUUCAUUGAUGAGCUAAUAACUAAUGUAGGAUUAAGUGAUUGGUAAAUAGUUAAUAA